Molecule: long non-coding RNA, 157 nt
Organism: Oryza brachyantha (malo sina)
Lineage: Eukaryota; Viridiplantae; Streptophyta; Magnoliopsida; Poales; Poaceae
Exons: 3
Source: RefSeq, a predicted model, not a curated record
GGAAAUAACGAUACGACUGGAUAGUACUUGGAGAAUUUGAAAACCAGGAAUGGCUAGAAAUGACUGAGGUUCUGGAGGCUCACUCACUAUAUAACAGGCACCAAAUAGUCCUGAAAGAAAAAUACUCUUUGCCUAGUGGUGCCGCCCUGCUGGAACC